GUAGGGUGCGAGCGUUAAUCGGAAUUACUGGGCGUAAAGCGUGCGCGGCGGUUGUGUAAGACAGGUGUGAAAUCCCCGGGCUUAACCUGGGAACUGCGCUUGUGACUGCACGGCUAGAGUAUGGCAGAGGGGGGUGGAAUUCCACGUGUAGCAGUGAAAUGCGUAGAGAUGUGGAGGAACACCGAUGGCGAAGGCAGCCCCCUGGGCCAAUACUGACGCUCAUGCACGAAAGCGUGGGGGGAGCAAACAGGAUUAGAUACCCUGGUAGUCCACGCCCCUAAACGAUGUCGACUAGGUGUUCGGUGAGGAGACUCAUUGAGUACCGCAGCUAACGCGUGAAGUCGACCGCCUGGGGAGUACGGUCGCAAGAUUA
RNAcentral lists this ribosomal RNA (373 nucleotides) under uncultured organism. Its description in RNAcentral is "partial 16S ribosomal RNA". It matches the Rfam family "Bacterial small subunit ribosomal RNA", at positions 527 to 896 of the family's 1533-position model. The record is from RNAcentral.